UGGCGAACGGGUGAGUAACACGUGGGUGAUCUGCCCUGCACUCUGGGAUAAGCCUGGGAAACUGGGUCUAAUACCGGAUAGGACCAUGCUUUAGUGUGUGUGGUGGAAAGUUUUUUCGGUGUAGGAUGAGCCCGCGGCCUAUCAGCUUGUUGGUGGGGUAAUGGCCUACCGAGGCGGCGACGGGUAGCCGGACUGAGAGGUUGGUCGGCCACAUUGGGACUGAGAUACGGCCCAG
This 235-nucleotide ribosomal RNA is filed under the name uncultured Actinomycetales bacterium. Its description in RNAcentral is "partial 16S ribosomal RNA". It matches the Rfam family "Bacterial small subunit ribosomal RNA", at positions 96 to 334 of the family's 1533-position model. The record is from RNAcentral. Lineage: Bacteria; Bacillati; Actinomycetota; Actinomycetes; Actinomycetales.